AUUGAACGCUGGCGGCAUGCCUUACACAUGCAAGUCGAACGGCAGCACGGGUGCUUGCACCUGGUGGCGAGUGGCGAACGGGUGAGUAAUACAUCGGAACGUACCUUAUCGUGGGGGAUAACGCAGCGAAAGCUGUGCUAAUACCGCAUACGCCCUGAGGGGGAAAGCGGGGGAUCGCAAGACCUCGCGCGAUUAGAGCGGCCGAUGCCUGAUUAGCUUGUUGGUGGGGUAAAGCCCACCAAGGCGACGAUCAGUAGCUGGUCUGAGAGGACGAUCAGCAGCACUGGGAGUGAGACACGGCCCAGACUCCUACGGGAGGCAGCAGUGGGGAAUUUUGGACAAUGGGGGCAACCCUGAUCCAGCAAUGCCGCGUGAGUGAAGAAGGCCUUCGGGUUGUAAAGCUCUUUUGUCAGGGAAGAAACACCGGCUCUAACACAGUCCGGGAAUGACGGUACCUGAAGAAUAAGCACCGGCUAACUACGUGCCAGCCGCCGCCGUAA
Molecule: ribosomal RNA, 500 nt
Filed under: uncultured bacterium
Lineage: Bacteria
Description: partial 16S ribosomal RNA
Rfam family: Bacterial small subunit ribosomal RNA
Source: RNAcentral